RNAcentral lists this transfer RNA (63 nucleotides) under Osborniella crotophagae. Its description in RNAcentral is "tRNA-His". Lineage: Eukaryota; Metazoa; Arthropoda; Insecta; Psocodea; Menoponidae. The record is from RNAcentral.
GAAAUAAUAGUUUAUUAAAAAUACUAGAUUGUGGAACUAGAGAAGUAUAUAUUACUUGUUUCA